AGACUUUGAUAAUGGCUCAGAACGAACGCUGGCGGCAGGCCUAACACAUGCAAGUCGAACGAACCCUUCGGGGUGAGUGGCGCACGGGUGAGUAACACGUGGGAACCUGCCCUGGAGUACGGAAUAACCAUUGGAAACGAUGGCUAAUACCGUAUACGCCCUACGGGGGAAAGUUUUAACGCUCCAGGAUGGGCCCGCGCCCGAUUAGGUAGUUGGUGUGGUAACGGCGCACCAAGCCGACGAUCGGUAGCUGGUCUGAGAGGAUGAUCAGCCACACUGGGACUGAGACACGGCCCAGACUCCUACGGGAGGCAGCAGUGGGGAAUAUUGGACAAUGGGCGCAAGCCUGAUCCAGCCAUGCCGCGUGAGUGAUGAAGGCCUUCGGGUUGUAAAGCACUUUCAAUAGGGAGGAAAGGUUAUACGUUAAUACCGUAUAGCUGUGACGUUACCUAUAGAAGAAGCACCGGCUAACUCCGUGCCAGCAGCCGCGGUAAUACGAAGGGUGCAAGCGUUAAUCGGAAUUACUGGGCGUAAAGCGCGCGUAGGUGGGUUUGAUAAGUUGGAUGUGAAAA
This 572-nucleotide ribosomal RNA is filed under the name uncultured bacterium. Its description in RNAcentral is "bacterial SSU rRNA". It matches the Rfam family "Bacterial small subunit ribosomal RNA", at positions 8 to 600 of the family's 1533-position model. The record is from RNAcentral.